RNAcentral lists this ribosomal RNA (466 nucleotides) under uncultured bacterium. RNAcentral describes it as "partial 16S ribosomal RNA". It matches the Rfam family "Bacterial small subunit ribosomal RNA", at positions 28 to 507 of the family's 1533-position model. The record is from RNAcentral.
GAUGAACGCUGGCGGCGUGCCUAACACAUGCAAGUCGAACGGAAAGGCCCAGCUUGCUGGGUACUCGUGUGGCGAACGGGUGAGUAACUCGUGGGUUAUCUGCCCUCAACUUUGGGAUAAGCCAGGGCAACUGGGUCUAAUACCGGAUAUGAACAACUGUCGCAUGGUGGGUGGAGGAAAGCUUUUGCGGUUGAGGGUGGGCUCGCGGCGUAUCAGCUUGUUGGUGGGGUAAUGGUCAACCAAGGCGGCGACGGGUAGCCGACCUUGGAGGGUGGUCGGCCACCCUGGGACUAAGACAGGCCGCAGUCUCCAACGGUAGGCAGCAGUGGGGAAUAUGGCACAAUGGGCGCAAGCCUGAUGCGACGACGCCGCGUGCGUGAUGACGUCCUUCGGGUUGUAAACCUCUGUCGCCAGAGACGAAGCGUGAGUGACGGUACCUGGAGAAGAAGCACCGGCCAACUACGUG